GCGAGGGUAGUUCAGUGGUAGAACGCUUCCUUGCCAAGGAAGAGGUCGCGGGUUCAAGUCCCGUUCCUCGCUCCA
This 75-nucleotide transfer RNA is filed under the name candidate division WWE3 bacterium CG08_land_8_20_14_0_20_40_13. Its description in RNAcentral is "tRNA-Gly". It matches the Rfam family "tRNA". From Rfam's summary of the family: Transfer RNA (tRNA) molecules are approximately 80 nucleotides in length. Their secondary structure includes four short double-helical elements and three loops (D, anti-codon, and T loops). RNAcentral also lists the same sequence under 2 other names. Lineage: Bacteria; candidate division WWE3. The record is from RNAcentral.